RNAcentral lists this ribosomal RNA (254 nucleotides) under uncultured bacterium. RNAcentral describes it as "partial 16S ribosomal RNA". It matches the Rfam family "Bacterial small subunit ribosomal RNA", at positions 524 to 776 of the family's 1533-position model. The record is from RNAcentral.
UACAGAGGGUGCGAGCGUUGUCCGGAAUCACUGGGCGUAAAGGGCGCGUAGGUGGUGGCUUAAGCGUGCGGUGAAAGCUCGGAGCUCAACUCCGAGUCGGCCGUGCGAACUGGGCUCACUGGAGCAUAGUAGAGGCAGGUGGAAUUCCGGGUGUAGCGGUGGAAUGCGUAGAGAUCCGGAAGAACACCGGUGGCGAAGGCGGCCUGCUGGGCAGUGGCUGACACUGAGGCGCGACAGCGUGGGGAGCAAACAGG